UUCCCCUAGUAACUGCGAGUGAAGCGGGAAAAGCUCAAAUUUAAAAUCUGGCGGUCUCCGGCCGUCCGAGUUGUAAUCUAGAGAAGUGUUAUCCGCGCUGGACCGUGUACAAGUCUCCUGGAAUGGAGCGUCAUAGAGGGUGAGAAUCCCGUCUUUGACACGGACUGCCAGGGCUUUGUGAUGCGCUCUCAAAGAGUCGAGUUGUUUGGGAAUGCAGCUCAAAAUGGGUGGUAAAUUCCAUCUAAAGCUAAAUAUUGGCGAGAGACCGAUAGCGAACAAGUACCGUGAGGGAAAGAUGAAAAGAACUUUGGAAAGAGAGUUAAACAGUACGUGAAAUUGCUGAAAGGGAAACGCUUGAAGUCAGUCGCGUUGGCCGGGGAUCAACCUUGCUUUUGCUGGGCGUACUUUCCGGUUGACGGGUCAGCAUCAAUUUUGACCGUUGGAUAAAGUCCAGGGGAAUGUGGCAUCUUCGGAUGUGUUAUAGCCCUUGGUCGYAUACAACGGUUGGGAUUGAGGAACUCAGCACGCCGCAAGGCCGGGUACUUGUACCACGUUCGUGCUUAGGAUGCUGGCAUAAUGGCUUUAAUCGACCCGUCUUGAAACACGGACCAAGGAGUCUAACAUGCCUGCGAGUGUUUGGGUGGAAAACUCGGACGCGUAAUGAAAGUGAAAGUUGAGAUCCCUGUCGCGGGGAGCAUCGACGCCCGGACCAGACCUUUUGUGAYGGAUCCGCGGUAGAGCAUGUAUGUUGGGACCCGAAAGAUGGUGAACUAUGCCUGAAUAGGGUGAAGCCAGAGGAAACUCUGGUGGAGGCUCGUAGCGAUUCUGACGUGCAAAUCGAUCGUCAAAYUUGGGUAUAGGGGCGAAAGMCU
RNAcentral lists this ribosomal RNA (872 nucleotides) under Hebeloma sp. 1 TM02_198. RNAcentral describes it as "eukaryotic LSU rRNA". It matches the Rfam family "Eukaryotic large subunit ribosomal RNA", at positions 75 to 932 of the family's 3401-position model. Lineage: Eukaryota; Fungi; Basidiomycota; Agaricomycetes; Agaricales; Hymenogastraceae. The record is from RNAcentral.